UCCAACACUUGGAGAGGGUGUUCCUCAGAUCAUUCGUAGCCACACAAAAUCAUCUGACCUCUACAAAAAAAUCUAUAUGAAGACUGACGCAGAUCAAAGACUUGGAGGUGCUAGCUUGCAAGCAACUUUGACAACUGGUUUCUUUCUUUUUCUUCAAGCAACUUGGACACUCCAAAGCAAAAGAGGAUCUAGAUGAGGAAGAAAGGAGGAGG
This 212-nucleotide long non-coding RNA is filed under the name Elaeis guineensis (African oil palm). RNAcentral describes it as "long non-coding RNA (EGUI_LNC056940)". Lineage: Eukaryota; Viridiplantae; Streptophyta; Magnoliopsida; Arecales; Arecaceae. The record is from RNAcentral.